Molecule: ribosomal RNA, 492 nt
Filed under: uncultured bacterium
Lineage: Bacteria
Description: partial 16S ribosomal RNA
Rfam family: Bacterial small subunit ribosomal RNA
Source: RNAcentral
AGUGAACGCUGGCGGUAGGCCUAACACAUGCAAGUCGAACGGCAGCACAGUAAGAGCUUGCUCUUACGGGUGGCGAGUGGCGGACGGGUGAGGAAUACAUCGGAAUCUACUUUUUCGUGGGGGAUAACGUAGGGAAACUUACGCUAAUACCGCAUACGACCUACGGGUGAAAGCAGGGGAUCUUCGGACCUUGCGCGAUUGAAUGAGCCGAUGUCGGAUUAGCUAGUUGGCGGGGUAAAGGCCCACCAAGGCGACGAUCCGUAGCUGGUCUGAGAGGAUGAGCAGCAAAACUGGAACGGAGACACGGACCAGACUCCGCGGGGGGGCGGCAGUGGGGAAUAUGGAAGAAGGGGCGAAAGUCUUACCCAGCCAUGCCGGGGGGGUGAAGAAGGCUUUUGGUUAGAAAACCCUUUUUUUGGGAAAAAAAAAGAAGCAGUUAAAACCCCCGCUUUCCUGAGGGAACCAAAAAAAAAAGCCCGGGCUAACUUGGUG